AACGAACGCUGGCGGCGCGCCUAAUACAUGCAAGUCGAGCGAGAAGGUGUAGCAAUACACUUGUAAAGCGGCGAACGGGUGAGGAAUGCAUGGGUAACCUACCCUCGAGUGGGGAAUAACUAGCCGAAAGGUUAGCUAAUACCGCAUACGUUUCCGGAACUUCGGUUUCGGAAAGAAAGCAAUACCGUGGGUAUUGCGCUCCUGGAUGGGCUCAUGUCCUAUCAGCUUGUUGGUGAGGUAACGGCUCACCAAGGCUUCGACGGGUAGCUGGUCUGAGAGGACGAUCAGCCACACUGGCACUGCGACACGGGCCAGACUCCUACGGGAGGCAGCAGUAAGGAAUAUUGCGCAAUGGACGAAAGUCUGACGCAGCGACGCCGCGUGGGGGAUGAAGGUCUUCGGAUUGUAAACCCCUUUCGGGAGGGAAGAUGGAGUGGGUAACCACUUGGACGGUACCUCCAGAAGCAGCCACGGCUAACUUCGUGCCAG
This 489-nucleotide ribosomal RNA is filed under the name uncultured bacterium. RNAcentral describes it as "bacterial SSU rRNA". It matches the Rfam family "Bacterial small subunit ribosomal RNA", at positions 29 to 511 of the family's 1533-position model. The record is from RNAcentral.